CAUCUUGCUUCAUAUAUUUUACUCUGAUCUUUUUUAGGAUGAAGCUCAUUUGAGAAAUCUUUUCUCUGCCUUUGGGGAGAAAUUAUUCGCCUUCUUUCACAAGACUGUAGAUGAGAAGAGAAGAAGGAGCAGACGGUGGUGCCGUCUUGUCUCAGGACCAAGUACUGCCGUGGAGUUGUAUACUGUACAAAAAGCAUCCCCCUGCGGAAAAACAGUUAGUGCUUCUGCAAACAAGACUUGGCUGCAGAGCUCUUACGCCAAUGAAAAAGGAUAUGGCUCUGUGGCAGUGACCCUCUUCUGCAAUGCCCUUUUGGACAUCACUCUUCCAGCUAGUGGCUGCUGUUGAGGGCAUAGCAGAAGAAUUUCCAAAUCCCAGAAUAUCAGAAUGGUUGCAGUAAACUACCAAGUGUAACUUAGAGCAACCCACAGAUGGGAAAUAAAAA
Molecule: long non-coding RNA, 443 nt
Filed under: Struthio camelus australis
Lineage: Eukaryota; Metazoa; Chordata; Aves; Struthioniformes; Struthionidae
Description: lncRNA (ENSSCUG00000011133.1)
Source: RNAcentral